GGGAACUGGGGGGACGGGUGCGGGGUAAUACGGGGGGGGCGAGGGUUGGCCGGAAUCACUGGGCGUAAAGGGCGCGGAGGCGGCUUGGUAAGUUGGGGGUGAAAGCCCGGGGCGCAACCCCGGGUCGGCCGUGGCAACUGCUGAGCUGGAGCACUGUAGAGGGAGGUGGAAUUCCGGGUGUAGCGGUGGAAUGCGUAGAGAUCCGGAAGAACACCGGUGGCGAAGGCGGCCUGCUGGGCAGUGGCUGACGCUGAUGCGCGACAGCGUGGGGAGCAAACAGGAUUAGAUACCCCGGUAGUC
Molecule: ribosomal RNA, 300 nt
Filed under: uncultured Balnearium sp.
Lineage: Bacteria; Pseudomonadati; Aquificota; Aquificia; Desulfurobacteriales; Desulfurobacteriaceae
Description: Uncultured Balnearium sp. partial 16S ribosomal RNA
Rfam family: Bacterial small subunit ribosomal RNA (bases 52-300)
Source: RNAcentral